AGGAUUUGGUUUAGAAUUUAGAAUUCAACUAGGAUUUGAUUUAGGAUUUAGGGUUUAUUUAGGCCUUAUAAUUUGUUUAAAAUUUGGUUUAGAAUUUAAGAUUUGAGAUUUAGUUAGAAUUUGACGUAAGAUUUAGUUAAGGUCUAUUCAAAUUUUAAUUAGGAUUAGAAUAGGAUUUGAUUUAGAUUUAUUUAAGAUUUAUUUAACAUUUAUUAAAAAAUUUAAAAAUACUUCUUUAGAAUUUUUUUAUAUAUUUUUUUUAUAAUUUCUUCAAGAUUUCUUUUGGAUUUGAUUAAAGCUUGAUUAAUAUUAUUAAGGUUUAAUUGGAGUUUAUUUAGAAUUCUAUUUGAAUUGUUAAGAUCUUAUUGUUACAAUUUUCCUUCUACUUUCUACAGUCAGAUGUCUAAUGCAUUCUUAAGCAAGACUUUACAUAAUACAAUAGUACAAAACAAGCAAUCUACAAACUUGGUAUUGUUAGAAAAUCUUUUCUUAAAAU
This 496-nucleotide long non-coding RNA is filed under the name Physcomitrium patens. RNAcentral's name for it is "long non-coding RNA (PPAT_LNC003351)". The record is from RNAcentral. Lineage: Eukaryota; Viridiplantae; Streptophyta; Bryopsida; Funariales; Funariaceae.